This 159-nucleotide ribosomal RNA is filed under the name uncultured bacterium. Its description in RNAcentral is "partial 16S ribosomal RNA". It matches the Rfam family "Bacterial small subunit ribosomal RNA", at positions 98 to 244 of the family's 1533-position model. The record is from RNAcentral.
GCAGACGGGUGAGGAACCCGUAUCUAACCUAACACGGGAUGGGGGAUAGUCCUGCGAAAGCGGGGGUAAUACCGCAUACGGUCGCGUGGGGCAACCUACGCGAGGAAAGCUGGCCUCUAGAUUAUGCUGGCGUCCGGUGAGGGGGAUGCGUCCUAUUAG